GGUUGUGGCUCAGUGGCAGAGCGCUUUCCUGGCAUGUGUGAGGCUCUGGGUUCGACCCUCAGCACUG
Molecule: transfer RNA, 67 nt
Filed under: Marmota monax (woodchuck)
Lineage: Eukaryota; Metazoa; Chordata; Mammalia; Rodentia; Sciuridae
Description: tRNA.Ala
Source: RNAcentral